RNAcentral lists this ribosomal RNA (325 nucleotides) under uncultured eukaryote. Its description in RNAcentral is "partial 18S ribosomal RNA". It matches the Rfam family "Eukaryotic small subunit ribosomal RNA", at positions 1470 to 1796 of the family's 1831-position model. The record is from RNAcentral.
CCCUUAGAUGUUCUGGGCUGCACGCGCGCUACACUGAAGCGUUCAACGAGUAUUCACCUUGCCCGGGAGGGUUGGGUAAUCUUUUGAAAACGCUUCGUGAUGGGGAUAGAUUAUUGCAAUUAUUAAUCUUCAACGAGGAAUUCCUAGUAAGCGCGAGUCAUCAGCUCGUGCUGAUUACGUCCCUGCCCUUUGUACACACCGCCCGUCGCUCCUACCGAUUGAGUAAUCCGGUGAAUAAUUCGGACUGCAGCACUGCUUGGUCUCCAGGCUUUGCAGCGGAAAGUUUAGUGAACCUUAUCACUUAGAGGAAGGAGAAGUCGUANCA